GACUAACGCUAACGGUGUGCUUAAUACAUGCAAGUCGAACGAGCAAUGUGAGAGUGGCAACACUCCUGCAAAGCUAGUGGCGAACGGGUGAGUAACGCGUAGGUAAUCUACCUUGAAGAUUAGGAUAACCUUCCGAAAGGAAGGCUAAUACUAAAAUUUUAUGUUUUUCGUAUGAUUAAUAUAACAAAGGUAGCCGCAAGGCCUCCGCUUUAAGAUGAACCUGCGUCCUAUUAGCUUGUUGGUAAGGUAAUGGCUUACCAAGGCUAUGAUGGGUAGCCGGCCUGAGAGGGUGAUCGGCCACACUGGGACUGAGAUACGGCCCAGACUCCUACGGGAGGCAGCAGUAGGGAAUAUUGCGCAAUGGGCGAAAGCCUGACGCAGCGACACCGUGUGAAGGAUGAAGGUCUUCGGAUCGUAAACUUCUGUCAAUCGGGGACGAAGGUAAUAAGGUUAAUAGCCUUUAUUAUUGACGGUACCCAAUAAGGAAGUCUCGGCUAACUCCGUGCCAGCAGCCGCGGUAAGACGGAGGAGGCAAGCGUUGUCCGGAAUCAUUGGGCGUAAAGAGCGCGUAGGCGGUUUUUCAAGUCGUAUGUGAAAACUUCAGGCUUAACCUGAUGAUUGCAUAUGAAACUGGAUAACUUGAGUACAGCAGAGGAAAGUGGAAUUCCUGGUGUAGCGGUGAAAUGUGCAGAUAUCAGGAAGGACACCGGUAGCGAAGGCGGCUUUCUGGGCUGUUACUGACGCUGAGGCGCGAAAGCUAGGGGAGCAAACAGGAUUAGAUACCCUGGUAGUCCUAGCCCGUAAACGAUGGACACUAGGUGUGGGAAGUUAUCGACGCUUUCUGUGCCGAAGCUAACGCAUUAAGUGUCCCGCCUGGGGAGACGGCCGCAAGGCU
Molecule: ribosomal RNA, 895 nt
Filed under: uncultured bacterium
Lineage: Bacteria
Description: bacterial SSU rRNA
Rfam family: Bacterial small subunit ribosomal RNA
Source: RNAcentral